GACGAACGCUGGCGGCGUGCUUAACACAUGCAAGUCGAACGGAAAGGCCCUGCUUUUGUGGGGUGCUCGAGUGGCGAACGGGUGAGUAACACGUGAGUAACCUGCCCUUGACUUUGGGAUAACUUCAGGAAACUGGGGCUAAUACCGGAUAGGAGCUCCUGCUGCAUGGUGGGGGUUGGAAAGUUUCGGCGGUUGGGGAUGGACUCGCGGCUUAUCAGCUUGUUGGUGGGGUAGUGGCUUACCAAGGCUUUGACGGGUAGCCGGCCUGAGAGGGUGACCGGCCACAUUGGGACCGAGAUACGGCCCAGACUCCUACGGGAGGCAGCAGUGGGGAAUAUUGCACAAUGGGCGGAAGCCUGAUGCAGCAACGCCGCGUGCGGGAUGACGGCCUUCGGGUUGUAAACCGCUUUCGCCUGUGACGAAGCGUGAGUGACGGUAACGGGUAAAGAAGCACCGGCUAACUACGUG
This 468-nucleotide ribosomal RNA is filed under the name uncultured bacterium. Its description in RNAcentral is "partial 16S ribosomal RNA". It matches the Rfam family "Bacterial small subunit ribosomal RNA", at positions 28 to 507 of the family's 1533-position model. The record is from RNAcentral.